This is a non-coding RNA of Oncorhynchus gorbuscha (pink salmon), 1733 nucleotides long. NCBI's taxonomy places the organism in Eukaryota, Metazoa, Chordata, Actinopteri, Salmoniformes, Salmonidae. The record is from the annotation of a RefSeq genome assembly.
GCACAUGCUUCAGUGGUCUGGGAGUGUUUAUAGCCCUGUGAGUUUAACACUUCAUGACUGAGAGCUGUCCUUCAUGACAACAGAACCCACAACAACCAUGACUUUUAUCACCAUCUUCAUCUGGAUAUUUGCCCUCUGUCUCCAAGAGUCCAGAGGCCAGGUCACAGUGACCCAGACUCCUGCAUUGAAAGCUGUUUCAGUGGGUCACUCAGUCAGUCUCAGCUGUAAGACCAGCAGUGCUGUACACAUUAACAGCAAUGGACACUAUUUGCACUGGUAUCAACAGAAACCUGGAGGAGCUCCUAAACUCCUUAUUUACUGGGCUAAAACCCUUCAGUCUGGGACUCCAUCUAGAUUCAGUGGCAGUGGAUCAGGGAGUGACUUCACUCUGACCAUCAGUGGAGUCCAGGCUGAAGAUGCAGGAGAUUACUACUGUCAGAGUUUACACUACCCCAACAGUGUCUGGGUGUUCACACAGUGAUACAGAGCUGUGCAAAAACCUCCCUCAGUCAGACUGCACAGUGACUGUACUGAUACAGCUGGGACUUACUGCAGGCGCUGAGGGGGAAGGGACAGUGACAUGGAAGACUGAGCAGCGAGGAAACAUUGAAUAAGGGUAGAAAGCGUAAUUCAAAUCACAUGUUCUCCCACAUCAUCAUCAUGGUUGCGACUCAUUAUAUUUGUUAUGACCUGAAAGAUCAUCUAAAGGUUAUGAGGUUUUGAAAACACAAUACCUGCCAAAUACAAAAUAAGAAGUAAAAGAAAAGGUGUCAUGACCUCAACAUUGCUUCAACGUUACAAUCACUUAAGCCCCCAAAACAAGUCCCCAAAUGUCUGAUUUAAAUGGAUUUGAUUUUACAGGAUUAUUAUGAACUAUUUUCAAUAUGCAGGUUCCUGACUGUUAGAUCUGUGAAUGAGACAUGAUGCUGGGUUCAAACACGAGACACUAUCCACAUAAAGUAUCAUUUCCAUUUUAGCGUUGUCAUUAAUUAUAUGGUGGCAUAUCUGUUAUGUCUACCUCCCUGAAUCAACCAUAGAGGUUAAACCUGUCCACUCCCUCACAUCUGACCCAGUCUAUGGUAUUUCAGGCAGUGAAACUGUUCAACUGCUAGACUGAUAGCCGUCAGACUAUAAGGGCACAAGACGAGACCCAGAUGCAGACACGGGGGGCAGAUGGUUUGAGCCAUUUUUUAUUCUAAUCCAAAAGGGUAGGCAAGAGAAUGGUCGUGGACAGGCAAAAGGUCAAAACUAGCUACAGUACUGAGAACAACCGACAACAAAACACAAUCAAUAAAGAUAAAGGCAAAAAUAAACUAUGAAAAUAUUUUUUGUCAAAACAAUACAUCAGAUAAAUGUAUGUUACAUUCAUGCUCUACAGUUUAACACACCACCAACAACCAAACACUAGGAUGGGGUUGAAGACUAGUCCUAAAAUAACUUUCAAUGAAGAUUAUUCAUUGAGCUUGCUUUUUAGUCCAGGACUAGGCUUAAUGUGUUUUGCAAACUACCCCCGAAACUACAAAGACAUUAAUAAUCAGAUUUACUAUUCACAGUGUAAAUCUCAAUAUCAAUUUUGUCAAAUCUACUCUGAGACAAGACAAAAUUACCUCAAAAUAAUAUUGAACCUUUUUGGGAUAGGGGGCAGCAUUUUCACUUUGGGAUGAAUAGCAUGCCCAGAGUGAACUGCCUCCUACUCUGUCCCAGAUGCCAAUAUCUGCAUAUUAUUAUUAGUA